RNAcentral lists this RNase P RNA (347 nucleotides) under Sulfurimonas sp. RNAcentral describes it as "RNase P RNA component class A". It matches the Rfam family "Bacterial RNase P class A". Rfam says of the family: Ribonuclease P (RNase P) is a ubiquitous endoribonuclease, found in archaea, bacteria and eukarya as well as chloroplasts and mitochondria. Its best characterised activity is the generation of mature 5'-ends of tRNAs by cleaving the 5'-leader elements of precursor-tRNAs. Lineage: Bacteria; Pseudomonadati; Campylobacterota; Epsilonproteobacteria; Campylobacterales; Sulfurimonadaceae. The record is from RNAcentral.
ACAAAAAUAGUUACUUGGAGUUAAUGGUACUUAGAGUUUUCGAGGUACAAUUAACUCAAGAGGAAAGUCCGAGCUGCUGUAAGACAGUGUUCCAUUUAACGAAUGGCCGUAGUAAUACGAGGGAAAGUGCAACAGAGAUUAGACUGCCACAGUAAUGUGGUAAUAGGUGAAAAGGUGUGUGUAAGAGACCACCAGUCUCUAUAGCAAUAUAGAGAGCUUGUAAACCCAACAUGGCAGCAAGAAACAGAUGGUUAGCGUCUUACAAGGCUAUUGUUUCGCUAGAGGCACAAAGUAAUUUGUGCAGUAGAUUAAUAACUAUUACUACAAAACUCGGCUUAUUUGUACCU